RNAcentral lists this ribosomal RNA (481 nucleotides) under uncultured bacterium. RNAcentral's name for it is "partial 16S ribosomal RNA". It matches the Rfam family "Bacterial small subunit ribosomal RNA", at positions 28 to 507 of the family's 1533-position model. The record is from RNAcentral.
GAUGAACGCUAGCGGCAGGCCUAAUACAUGCAAGCCGAACGGCAAGUUUGAUAGCACUCUUGGACCUAGAGUGGCGCAAGGGUGCGUAACACGUAUGCAACCUGCCCGCGACAGGAGGAUAGCUCCCCGAAAGGGGAAUUAACCCUCCAUAACACCAUGAGAAGGCAUCUGAUUAUGGUUAAACCGCAAGGGGUCGCGGAUGGGCAUGCGGUUGAUUAGCUAGUUGGCGGGGUAAAGGCCCACCAAGGCGGUGAUCAAUAGGGGUUCUGAGGAAGGUCCCCCACACUGGCACUGGGAUACGGGCCAGACUCCUACGGGAGGCAGCAGUAGGGAAUAUUGGACAAUGGUUGCAAGACUGAUCCAGCCAUGCCGCGUGCAGGAAGAAGGCCUUCUGGGUCGUAAACUGCUUUUUCCUGUGGAUAAAAUACCCGUGCGCGGGGAAUUGAAGGUAACAGGGGAAUAAGCCACGGCUAACUACGUG